AGUAGUAUUAGUUAUGUUCUUGAAACUUAAAGAAUUUGGCGGUAUCUUAUUCCGUUCARAGGAAUCUGUCUCGUUAUCGAUAGUCCACGUUGGACCUUACUUAGUUGCUAUGGUUUGUAUACCGCCGUUUAUUGAUUAUCUUUUUAGUGUUUUUUGAAUUUUCUGGUUUCUUGGUUUAGAUUUAUUUCAGGUCAAGGUGCAGCUUGUUUCUAAGUGUUAUGAUGGAUUACAUUGUUAUUGGUUAUCGGAUUGUUGGAUUCAAUUUCUGACAUGAAGUUGGAUUUGAUUGUAAUGUUUUGUAGAUUGUUUUCGUGAUAGUGGCUCUAARAUAUGCACACAUCGCCCGU
Molecule: ribosomal RNA, 347 nt
Filed under: Psammotermes sp. JS-2017
Lineage: Eukaryota; Metazoa; Arthropoda; Insecta; Blattodea; Rhinotermitidae
Description: partial 12S ribosomal RNA
Source: RNAcentral